Molecule: ribosomal RNA, 254 nt
Filed under: uncultured bacterium
Lineage: Bacteria
Description: partial 16S ribosomal RNA
Rfam family: Bacterial small subunit ribosomal RNA
Source: RNAcentral
UACGUAGGGGCGCAAGCGUUAUCCGGAAUUAUUGGGCGUAAAGAGCUCGUAGGCGGUUUGUCGCGUCUGCCGUGAAAGUCCGGGGCUCAACUCCGGAUCUGCGGUGGGUACGGGCAGACUAGAGUGAUGUAGGGGAGACUGGAAUUCCUGGUGUAGCGGUGAAAUGCGCAGAUAUCAGGAGGAACACCGAUGGCGAAGGCAGGUCUCUGGGCAUUAACUGACGCUGAGGAGCGAAAGCAUGGGGAGCGAACAGG